Molecule: ribosomal RNA, 440 nt
Filed under: uncultured bacterium
Lineage: Bacteria
Description: partial 16S ribosomal RNA
Rfam family: Bacterial small subunit ribosomal RNA
Source: RNAcentral
CCUACGGGCGGCAGCAGUGGGGAAUAUUGCACAAUGGGGGGAACCCUGAUGCAGCAACGCCGCGUGGAGGAUGGAGGUUUUCGGAUUGUAAACUCCUUUUGUUAGGGAAGAUCAUGACGGUAUCCAACCUAUAAGCCACCGCUAAAUCCGUGCCAGCAGCCGCCGUUAUACGGAGGGUGCAAGCGUUUCUCCGAAUCACUGGGCGUAAAGGGCGGGUAGGCGGGAUCGUAAGUCAGAUGUGAAAUCCUGGGGCGCAACCCUAGAACUGCAUUUGAAACUGGUCUUCUAGAGUGUGGGAGAGGUAGGAGGAAUUCUUGGUGUAGGGGUAAAAUGCGUAGAGAUCAAGAGGAAUACUCAUGGCGAAGGCGACCUACUAGAACAUAACUGACGCUGAGGCGCGAAAGCGUGGGGAGCAAACAGGAUUAGAUACCCGAGUAGUC